This 163-nucleotide ribosomal RNA is filed under the name Arabidopsis thaliana (thale cress). RNAcentral's name for it is "5.8S ribosomal RNA". It matches the Rfam family "5.8S ribosomal RNA". From Rfam's summary of the family: 5.8S ribosomal RNA (5.8S rRNA) is a component of the large subunit of the eukaryotic ribosome. It is transcribed by RNA polymerase I as part of the 45S precursor that also contains 18S and 28S rRNA. Functionally, it is thought that 5.8S rRNA may be involved in ribosome translocation. The record is from RNAcentral. Lineage: Eukaryota; Viridiplantae; Streptophyta; Magnoliopsida; Brassicales; Brassicaceae.
AAAACGACUCUCGGCAACGGAUAUCUCGGCUCUCGCAUCGAUGAAGAACGUAGCGAAAUGCGAUACUUGGUGUGAAUUGCAGAAUCCCGUGAACCAUCGAGUCUUUGAACGCAAGUUGCGCCCAAGCCUUCUGGCCGAGGGCACGUCUGCCUGGGUGUCACAA